Lolium perenne is the source of this 346-nucleotide non-coding RNA. Lineage: Eukaryota; Viridiplantae; Streptophyta; Magnoliopsida; Poales; Poaceae. The record is from RefSeq and is a predicted model, not a curated record.
UCCUUUUGACGACUAUUUACCGCGAGCAAUCUGAAAGAAUGAAUGCCCGAUAAUCAUCUGACAAGCCAAUGCACCAUGUCGCUCAAUUACAGAGCUGAGGAGGACCUGUCAGGAGGUUGUGACGAUGAUGCCCUGGAGGAGGGAUGGUGUUUGGUGGCAGAGGAUGCUGGCAAGGCACAAGAUUGCAGCAGAUGAAGAUGGCCUGGCGUUCAAACCUUGGGAAGUGUCGGUUAAAUCCUGUGGCGAGCAGCGGAUGGCUAGAGGGAAUGGAGGGAGCUGUAGCAGAUGAAGGCGGAGGGAUAUGAAGAUAGGUUAAGAGAAAGAGACUAUAAGCCGUUAACGCAGA